This 301-nucleotide ribosomal RNA is filed under the name uncultured bacterium. RNAcentral describes it as "partial 16S ribosomal RNA". It matches the Rfam family "Bacterial small subunit ribosomal RNA", at positions 509 to 807 of the family's 1533-position model. The record is from RNAcentral.
CAGCAGCCGCGGUAAUACGGAGGGAGCUAGCGUUAUUCGGAAUUACUGGGCGUAAAGCGCACGUAGGCGGCUUUGUAAGUUAGAGGUGAAAGCCUGGAGCUCAACUCCAGAAUUGCCUUUAAGACUGCAUCGCUUGAAUCCAGGAGAGGUGAGUGGAAUUCCCAGUGUAGAAGUGAAAUUCGUAGAUAUUGGGAAGAACACCAGUGGCGAAGGCGGCUCACUGGACCGACACUGACGCUGAGGCGCGAAAGCGUGGGGAGCAAACAGGAUUAGAUACCCCUGUAGUCCCUGUCUCUUAUAC